Molecule: ribosomal RNA, 587 nt
Filed under: uncultured bacterium
Lineage: Bacteria
Description: bacterial SSU rRNA
Rfam family: Bacterial small subunit ribosomal RNA
Source: RNAcentral
AACGAACGCUGGCGGCACGCUUAACACAUGCAAGUCAAGGGGAAAUGGCUUCGGCCUGAGUACACUGGCGCACGGGUGAGUAACGCGUGAGGAAUCUGCCCAUAAGACUGGGAUAACAUGCCGAAGGGUGUGCUAAUACUGGAUGUGUUUUACUGACGCAUGUUAAUAAAACAAAGGCGGGGCGACCUGCCGCUUAUGGAUGACCUCGCGUCCGAUUAGCUAGUUGGUGGGGUAAUAGCUCACCAAGGCUACGAUCGGUAGCCGGCCUGAGAGGGUGGCCGGCCACACUGGAACUGAGACACGGUCCACACUCCUACGGGAGGCAGCAGUGGGGAAUCUUGCGCAGUGGGGGCCACCCUGACGCAGCGAUGCCGCGUGAACAAAGAAGGCCUUCGGGUCGUAAAGUUCUUUCGCUGGGGAAGAAAGCUAUUCGUAGUAACUGACGGGUAGUUGACGGUACCCAGAUAAGCAGCCCCGGCUAACUCCGUGCCAGCAGCCGCGGUAAUACGGAGGGGGCAAGCGUUGUUCAGAAUUACUGGGCGUAAAGCGCGCGUAGGUGGUUUUGUAAGUCUGGGGUCAAAGGCGAC